This 492-nucleotide ribosomal RNA is filed under the name uncultured bacterium. RNAcentral describes it as "partial 16S ribosomal RNA". It matches the Rfam family "Bacterial small subunit ribosomal RNA", at positions 28 to 507 of the family's 1533-position model. The record is from RNAcentral.
GGUGAACGCUAGCGGUAGGCCUAACACAUGCAAGUCGAACGGCAGCACAGUAAGAGCUUGCUCUUACGGGUGGCGAGUGGCGGACGGGUGAGGAAUACAUCGGAAUCUACUUUUUCGUGGGGGAUAACGUAGGGAAACUUACGCUAAUACCGCAUACGACCUACGGGUGAAAGCAGGGGAUCUUCGGACCUUGCGCGAUUGAAUGAGCCGAUGUCGGAUUAGCUAGUUGGCGGGGUAAAGGCCCACCAAGGCGACGAUCCGUAGCUGGUCUGAGAGGAUGAUCAGCCACACUGGAACUGAGACACGGUCCAGACUCCUACGGGAGGCAGCAGUGGGGAAUAUUGGACAAUGGGCGCAAGCCUGAUCCAGCCAUACCGCGUGGGUGAAGAAGGCCUUCGGGUUGUAAAGCCCUUUUGUUGGGAAAGAAAAGCAGCAGGUUAAUACCCCGCUGUUCUGACGGUACCCAAAGAAUAAGCACCGGCUAACUUCGUG